UAUUCAUUUCACCACCUCCACAGCUGCUUUAAAGGGGAGCUGGGGAGGCAGCGUGAACACACUUCCUUCCUCUCUCCUGGGAACCACGGGGGCUGACACCAUCAGGGACCGCCCAGCAUGGAGCCACCUCCGGAUGUUUGGGGCGUUCCUCAACUGACGGGCCUGGUUGGCAGACACUGCUUUCCAAUAACAAAGCUGAGAAGACCCCAGCACUGCCUUCCCUGCUGACCUGGAUGAUGGGCCUGGAACAUGGAACCUCAGAUGCCCCGGGGCAGGGGAGGAGAGGCCUCUUCCCUGUGUGGCCACACUGUGAUGGCCCUAGGGGAGUUGCAGAGCCACGUGGGGAGUCUGUGGUCAGGGGCGGGACAGCAGAGUCCCCCUGCACCGGCCUGGUGGGGCGAUCUGGACAACGGGUCUGGCUGCGCAGCUCCCUUCACUCCUCCCGUGUCUCGGCCUUCCUGGGGAUUCAUGAGCUGCCCCAAAUCCGCACGAUAAAUUCCCCUUUGCUGCAGGAGCCAGCCAUGCUACACAGACCAAACUCCCAACCAGCACAGCGUCUGUUUGCCACCACCGGGCAUCCCAGCAGAUGACACACCCUUGGAGGCAUUCCUCCAGUGGCUGCGUCGCCAGCAAGGUGCCCGGUCACUGGGCCCCCUGGACGGAGUCUGAGCUCAGCAGCUCCGAGGAGACCACCCCAGUGGUCUGCAAGUUAUGGCCACGAGGUGGUUGUGCAGAAGUUUGGCCUGGAAAAGAUGAGAGGACAGAAAAGAAAGAAGACUCCAGAGGCACGAACGUCUUCUGCCCAAGGGGAGAGCUACCCACGUGUCUCCCUCCAGGAGGAGGGACGCCAUAAACACUAACUGGACUCGUCUCGCAACAGUCCCUGCCCUCCACCGCUGUAUCAAUAUUUAUCAAGUCUUUGGGGGCUCAGAAUGCGUGCUGGGGAUUCAAUCAAUCCAGCGGGGAUCUGAGUGCUGCGUUGCAUUUUGAGCAACUUCAAUAUGUCUGCCGGUGUUUGGACGCUUGCUUCCAUUACCAAUUCAUGAAGCGUCUGCUGGAAUUAGUAAAUCCCUUUCAUUUACUUACGUAGGAGAAAAUGUUUAAUAGCUGCCACAUGAAAUUUGCAAAUUGUGCUCUAUCUGAGGCUGAUUAAUAAAACACCAUGGAAAAUCCA
Macaca mulatta (Rhesus monkey) is the source of this 1174-nucleotide non-coding RNA. Lineage: Eukaryota; Metazoa; Chordata; Mammalia; Primates; Cercopithecidae. The record is from RefSeq and is a predicted model, not a curated record.